Molecule: long non-coding RNA, 1271 nt
Organism: Brassica rapa (field mustard)
Lineage: Eukaryota; Viridiplantae; Streptophyta; Magnoliopsida; Brassicales; Brassicaceae
Source: RefSeq, a predicted model, not a curated record
UUUCAAUUUACACAAUCAAACACAUGUUGCUGGAGGUACACUUUCUCUGUGGUGAUUGUCUCUUAUACUCCCAAUAUUGUUUCUUCUUAACAUUCUUUCUUUCGUAGCUAACUUUUUUUUUAAAAUAAAACAACAAUAUAUCCAAUUGGACACACAUCUCAAUUAAAGAAAUAUAAUAAAAUUCAAAAUACAAUUAAUCCAUUAUCUCUCAUAUUUUUGAGACAAAAAAUUGAAAUCACUUUCAUAGUUUCUCAAAACCUAAUUGCAACGAUCCCCUUUCAUCAUCUAUCCCCGAACCUCGUCCAGCUUCGAGAAACCAUGGUGAAAUCGAAGUCGAAGAAGAAAGGGAACCUCAAUAGUCAACCUUCUUCACCGCAGAUCGACAACAGAGGUUUAUAUUUUGAAUUCUUUAACUCUUUUUGACUUUAAAGAGUUUUCGAAAUCCCUAACUUUUUAUGUUUUUCUUGUUUGUGUUGUAAUUUUCCAAUUGGAUCGAAAUUUCUGAGAUUUUGUGGAUGGGAGAGAUAAUGAGCAGAUCUGAGAGCUCCAGUGUGGAGAGGGCAACGUGACGGCGAGCAUGUCCAAGCUCCGUUGUGGAGAGGAUGACAUGACGGCCAGCAGAUCUGAGCUCCGGUGCGGAGAAACGCGGCGACGAACAGGUCAUGCCUCUAUUGUGGAAAAGAAGACGACAAGCUCUCGUGGUGUGAAGAUGGAUUUUUGGAUAAAACUUGACAUGACCACAGCAAGAAUUCAUGGAUAAUGCAGCAAGAUAUACUUGACAUGACCACAGCAAGAAUUCAUGGAUAAUGCAGCAAGAUAUUUUAACUACAUGACCACAUCAAGAGUCUAUGACGUAGUUCACAACAACAACGUCCUAAACAUCAAUCUUGUUUCCACCCAUUAAGAGUCUAUGGAUGAUGCAGCUCAACACCUCCUAUCCAGACUCCAAAACGUGGUUUAUCUACUUUCACUUGGUCUUGUAUUUCAUAUCUAUGUCAACAUAUGUAAUUACUAUAGACCAAACUUGGGGAAAGUAUGGAUAUGAACGUUUUAGUGUAUGUGUCCAGCUUUGAUGUCUAUAUCCACAUAUAGUUUAUAACUCUAUUAUCUAAGUGUCCAUAUCCACAUUUUUAUAGAUGAUUGAGAAUAUAAGAAUGUUAUCAACGAAAACACAUCCAUGAAACUUCUUAAAAGAUUUUUUAUAUUUUUGUAUCUAUCCAUGUCCACAUCUUUUUUUUCAUGUAUUUUUCUUACUUGUCCACAAUUUUCCG